UCUCGGGAGGCUGACGUGGCGCUUUCCUGAUCUCCCCUUCUAUUUUUCCUCAAUUUCUAAAGUUCACAUUUUAUUGUUUGGUUUCUCUAAAUCUUGGAAUUCCAGAAUUUGUAAAGUCUCAUUAUUAAUUAUUGAGAUUUACUUUAUCGGUUGGGUAUUGUGAGGAUCUCAGGAGUUUCACAUCUCUUCAUCUCUGCUUUACUACGAUUUUACAACUCCCUCCCUCCUCUCCUCUCUCAAUUUCACUUGUCUGAUUAUGAUGAUGGCUGUGUAAGUUUCUUGGUAGAUAAAGAAAACCCGGUAUUUAUUUGUCGUCCUCGCAGCAGAAUUUACAAGGGGAUGGAAUGGAUCAUGAUGAGGAAACCUCCGGUAUCCAAUAACAUCUUCGAGACCACAUGGAUUUUUCUCAGUAUGUUGCAGCAAAUUCCCCAGGCCUGAAAGAUCUUCAGGAGGAACCAAAUAAAUCACGAAACAGCUUCUCUGCUUUAAAAGCUCUAUGCUCUGUGAUGUUUUCAGUGUUGAGGUUAUAAAGAUUGAUUGGUCAAACAGCUGUUGGUUUGAGCAAGUAGCAGAAGAUACUGAUGGGUGCAGAAGGUGAAGUGAAGUGUGAAGAGGAAUGUCCUGGAAUAUGCGGCUUUGCUACAGCCCUCGCUCUUCACAGGUACAUUCAACUUUAUGCUUGUGUAUAUGCUUGUAAUUAAACACAUGAUCGCUUGCAAUUCAUUUGGAAAUUAUUGCUUUUAUCUCUGCACAUGCUAUCAAUUUUCAAAUUGCUUAAUUACCUUGAAAUUUAGACAUGAAAAACGCUAGAGUUUGGGAAGCUGGACUUAGGGUACCACAUGCAGUUAUAGUGGAUACACAUCCAUAUUCGUGGCACACUUGUAGGCUAUAUCAAACAUGUUUGCAAAGAUAACAUGCGGCUACCCUGAAACUCCCUGCAUCUGUCCCUUCUCCAGCUCAGGAUGUCGAACAACUCCACAAAGCCUUUUCCGGUUCGUUUUCAACUCUUCUCCUUUUCCUUUCUUGUGUAUUUUUUUUUUCAUUAUAACAUGCUUCUGCUACCUAUUUACUCAAAUAUGUGAUCGUUAAUUUACGAUGUAUUUUGCCAAAAUGAAAUUGUGGUUUCAUUUGAUUUCUUGAUUAUCAUGUCUGCUUUAAUUUAUUAGCAAUGCCAGGCACAUGAAGCGAUGUUUUUAGAGAUAUAUUAUGCACUAUCCAUGUGUUCUCAGUCAGCUUUGCAUAUUUGAGAUGUUUAAAAUACAAAUAAUACUGAAAGAACAAACCAACAAUCUAUGCUUCCUAUGAUUGGAUUUUUGUUUCUGUGAUUUUUAAGUUUAAUGAAUACAUAUAUUUUAAAGCUUUAACUCAUUUUGUAAUGGUUCAUGUUAGAAUAUAAAAUUAUCGUGGUAAGCCUUUCUACAAAUAUUUUGACAGAAUUGGUUACUUAAAAUCAUAUGAGAUUUCAGGCUCAACUUGCCCUAGCCCUGUUAUCAUUUAUGUAAUGUUGCAGUGUUGUAUAAUUGCAACAAGUCUUACUACUGCUGUAUUUCCACGUGAUGACUGUGUGAGCAUAGGGAGUGGCGUAAUAUUGUUGCUGGCACAUGUCGCCAGAUGUACAUUUCAAUUCUACUCGCUGUCCUGCGAACAGCAUACACUCCCAGAACAAGCACUCAAAUAUGAAGAUGUUUAUAUGAGCAUUAGUGGUGUGUAGAUUUUGGGUGUGCACAACAUUUAACAAUUUGUUAUGAAGAAAAAGGUUAACAUUUGAAUUAGUUUGAGCCUGUAAUUUAUUUUGCCUUUUAUUACAUUUCAAUUCUAUAUGUAAUUAUAUGUAGCUUGGAUUUAUACAGAA
Long non-coding RNA from Daucus carota subsp. sativus, 1852 nucleotides. RefSeq lists it as uncharacterized. The transcript is spliced from 3 exons. The record is from RefSeq and is a predicted model, not a curated record. NCBI's taxonomy places the organism in Eukaryota, Viridiplantae, Streptophyta, Magnoliopsida, Apiales, Apiaceae.